GUUUUCAUGAAACUAGAACCUCGCUCGUGUUUCAGCACAAGCUAAUAGUAAUAUUUGAUAUUUGAUAAUAUAUAUUGAUAGUUUAAUUAUAUUAAAAAAAUUACAAACAAUAUCAUUCAAGUAAACAUUUGAAGCAAACAUGAUAUCUCAUACAUAUUGUGAUGACAUUAUAUAUGAUAUUCCAUAUAUGGCUAGCACAAAAAUAAGUUUAAAUUACAAACAACAUAGGUAAUUAUUUGCAUGUUUUAUAAAAGGGAUAGAUGUGCAUUGAUAGUGGUGAGAGCAGGAGAAAGAAGAUAGAAUGGACUGAGAGAAGAUGAAAGAAGUUACCACCAACCCUGAGUACAGGCUCCUUUUCUUUGCAGGAGAAAGAAGACAGAUUGGAGUGCUUCCAAGGUGAAAGAAGUCACCACCAACCCUGAGUAUAGGCUGAGGCUUUGUUCUUAUUCCCCACUAUCUGCAAAGACAGGGGUGCAAAGAUUGGUGCCACUCUUUGGCAAAAAUUGUUUCCUGAAUAUGAGGCAAAAAUUGUCAUUUAGAACAUUAAGGUUGUUGAGAAUCAUUCUAAGUACAAAGUUUCAGCAUGCUUACUUUUUGAACAACUAUCAAUGCACAUCUAUCCCCUUUAUCAAACACGUAAAUCAUUACCUAUAUUGCUUGUAAUUCAAACUUAUUUUUGUGCUAGCCAUAUAUAAUAUGUCAUCACAUUAUGUAUA
This is a long non-coding RNA of Glycine soja, 716 nucleotides long. RefSeq lists it as uncharacterized. NCBI's taxonomy places the organism in Eukaryota, Viridiplantae, Streptophyta, Magnoliopsida, Fabales, Fabaceae. The record is from RefSeq and is a predicted model, not a curated record. The transcript is spliced from 4 exons.